Molecule: unclassified non-coding RNA, 2399 nt
Filed under: Hevea brasiliensis (rubber tree)
Lineage: Eukaryota; Viridiplantae; Streptophyta; Magnoliopsida; Malpighiales; Euphorbiaceae
Source: RNAcentral
GUUUUAUUAACUGUUUUUUAACAAUUAGACUUUUGAUUAAAAUUUAAAUAUGGGAAAAACGUAUAAGCACAAAUACACGGGUAACUAAGGCCAGGAUGAAGCAAAAUGUAAGUGUCAAAUACCUAAUAACAAGGGAUAUGGGUGUGACCAAUACAAAGAGAUCAAGCAUUGUCCAUUAGCAUAGCAUUCAUCCAAAUAAGAUUUCAAAUGACAAUUUCUAAUAUUUGAGGAACAGUAUCACUUCAAUGUUUACCAGCGCUAAUGAAAUGCUGCUGCUUCAUCCUUGAAGUGUUUCAGUAGGCUCUCAGUACUCAUCACUGAGUGGUCUGACUUGUCUCUCACUCGCACACUUACCUGUCCAGUUUUGGCUUCCUCUUCACCUACCACCAAUAUAUAGUUGUACUGUGCCAGCUGAGCUUCUCGUACCUUUUUCUGAAUCUUUCGGUCAGUUGUAUCAACAUCAACAUAAUAACCAGCAUCAUGUAUCAGAGCCCGCACCUCUUCUGCAUAAGGUUGGGAUUUCUCAGACACAGGGCAGACAAUCGCUUGACGAGGACUAAGCCAGAAAGGCCAUUUCCCCUUGUAAUGCUCCAAUAGUAUGGCAAACAUACGCUCAACAGACCCUAGAAUGGCCCGGUGUAUCAUAACAGGUCUUUCCCUCUUGGCUUCGUCCUCUGCUGAGUAAUCCAACUCAAAUCGAUCUGGAAGCUGGAAGUCAAGCUGCAAAGUGGCACACUGAAGUUUCCUAUUCAAUGCAUCAGAUACACUUAUAUCUAUUUUUGGUCCAUAGAAAGCUCCAUCACCUUCAUUAAUCUGCCAAGGCUUCCCAAACUCCUCCAAUGCUGCUUUAAGAGCAUCCUCGGCUUUCCCCCAUGUUUCCAAGUUCCCUAGAUAUUUCUCUGGCCUCGUAGAUAGCUUCAGCUCAUAAGCGAAUCCAAAUAUCUUAUAAGCAUAAUCAAUGAAUUCUAAGACACCCAUCGCUUCAUCUUUUAUCUGUUUCUCCAUGCAGAAUAUAUGAGCAUCAUCCUGCUGAAAUCUUCGAACACGUGUUAACCCAGUGAGUGCUCCACUGGCCUCAUUGCGAUGCAAGGCUCCAAAAUCAGCCAGCCGAAGAGGAAGCUCUCUAUAUGAACGGACUCUGUGUUGAAAUAUCAAACAAUGCCCAGGGCAAUUCAUUGGUUUCAGGCCAAACUCUUGCUUCUCAAUCUCGAGCAAAAACAUAUUCUCCUUAUAAUUUGCAGCAUGGCCAGAUGUCUCCCAAAGUUUCAUGUUAUAGAUAUUUGGAGAUUUAACCUCUUCAUAGCCUCUGUCUCUAUAUUGAGCACGUAUAAAUUCCAUUAAUUUAUUGUAAAUUCGAGUUCCAUGUGGAAGGAAAAACCAACUUCCCGGACUCAGUGGAUGACAAAAGAAAAGCUCCUGUUUUGUUCCCAACAAUCUGUGGUCAUACUUCUUUGCUUCUUCCAACUGUUGAAUGUACUCCUUCAAUCGUUUUUGAUCAGGAUAGGAUAUCCCAUAAACUCUUUGUAAACUUUCACGAUCUUUGUUACCCCUCCAAUAGGCUGAUGAAGCCUUCAAACAUGCGAAUGCUUUCACGAAGGAUGUAUUAGGUAUAUGGGGUCCUCGACAUAAAUCUACCAAUGGGCCACACCUGUAUACAGUUAUAGUCUUGUCUGCAGGAAGAUCAUUGAUGAUUUCAACCUUGAAAUUAUUUUCUGAAAACAUCUCAAGUGCUUGUUCCCUUGAUAAUUCAAUGCGCUCAAAAGGUUGCUUUUCCGCAACAGCUUUCAGUGCCCCAGUUUCAAUUUGCUUAAAAUGAUCAUCGUUCAAGCCCAAUUCACCAUAGAAUGCAUCAUAAUAGAAUCCCUCCCCUCUUGUUGUACAGGGUCCAAUACAAAGCUUGCAACCAUACUCCAUCUCCAGUGACUGGCCAAGAAUGUGAGCGCUUGAAUGCCAAAAGGUAUCGCGCCCUUCAUCACUGUCAAAUGUAAAAAUCUUGAGCUCACAAUCGCUCUCUAACGGCCUGUUCAUGUCCCAAAGAGUCCCAUCAACUUGAGCAAUCAAGGCAUUGGCCGCCAAACUCUUAGAAAUCUCUCUGGCAAUAUCCAUCGGAGACGAUAACCAUCUCUUGCCUUCCUUUACUUUCCCGUCUGCCAAAGUAAUCUUGAUGAGGCCGUGCUCGAGGGAUUGAAGGUGGGUAAGCUGCUGUGACUUAAUGGAUUCGAAGAACUUGAUGCGUUUUUCGAUCACUGCUUUGAGAUAGGCUUCGUCUUUGGGGUGAGAGACGGCCAUAGUAGUAGCCAAGGAGGAGAAUAGGCGCCUGCUAGGAGAUUUAGAGAGGAGGAAAUGAGAAGAAUAAAGGCUAAGACGGAAAAGCAGUGCACAUAGCAUAUGAAAGCAGG